GGAAGGGUAGAGAGAGUGGAAGCUAGUGAGACAAGAAAGAGGAAGGAGAAAGAAGUUCAUCAUUUUCAUAUCUCCAUUUUCGCAACCCUUGAUACAGCUCCACUAAAUCAGCUUGUUUAUUGGUGGAGAUAAACGCAUUUGAAGAUUGAUGAUUGAUGCUGAAAGUGAGUACAAGAGUGAUUACGGGUUUGAUCAUAUUAGAGGUGAAGUGUUGGUCAAAGAGAGAGUUCAAUGGCAGCAAGAGUAUUCUCAUAACCUCCAUUAAAUCCAUGGUGCAGUUUAGUAGCGUUUGACAGAUAGUAGGUUCGGAUUGACGACUUAAAGUGGUGAUGGCUCGGAGACCUCGUCAGAUCUUAUUUUCCGCUGUGCAGAUCCAUGAAGACACAUGUUUUGUAAUUAUUAAUAUUAUUUCAUGUUGUAUUUAUAUGGAUCUUCUUGUAUCUUUAGCUUUUGUAUGUACUCAAAUACCGAUUUUUAACGUUUCAUGCAUAAUAUACUAGUCAAUUAUGUGUGGGGUGUUACAGAUAGCCAUCUAUCUAGCCAAAAAUCAAUAUGAUUACAAUUUCCUAGCUUGCAAAUAAUAGCCGACGAAAACCAAUUUUCCAAUGGUCCGUUUCCGCCCGCUCCCACCAAACAAAGAUCUUUCCACCAGAGCGACACCUUGUUUCUUUUGUGAGUCACAUGAUUGGAGAGCAUAACUCUCUUUAUGUCACCGUACCUGCAAGAAAGAAGGUUAGUCCAUAAAAAAUUAUCCCCACUCAAAAUCCUCCACCUCCACUUACUAAGAAGCGCCUCAUUAAACAAACCACAAUGUUUGACUCCUAAACCACCCUCCUUCUUAGGAAGACAAACCUUAUCCCACCCAAUCCAAUUAAUCUUCUUCUUAUCCUCACUACCACCCCAUAAAAAAUUCCUUUGAAUCUUAAUAAUCUCUUUAAUAACCACUUUUGGAGCCUUAAAAAAAGAGAACAUAAAGAUUGGAAUACUAGACAAUACCGAAUUCAACAUCACCACUCUCCCACCAAUCGAUAAGUGUCUAAAUCUCCAAGACUCCAACCUUUUCCGCAACUUGGAUACCACCGGCCUCCAAACCUCCCUCCUCCUAUGAUUAGAGCCAAUCGGAAUACCU
This is a long non-coding RNA of Vicia villosa (hairy vetch), 1129 nucleotides long. RefSeq lists it as uncharacterized. The transcript is spliced from 3 exons. NCBI's taxonomy places the organism in Eukaryota, Viridiplantae, Streptophyta, Magnoliopsida, Fabales, Fabaceae. The record is from RefSeq and is a predicted model, not a curated record.